AUCAGAUACGCGAGAUCUGAUCACGUGACUCCCGGUAGACGCUAGCGGUACGGACCCGUAGCAUCGGUACUACAGGAAAAAUGGAGUUAUCAAGGCUUUUCUUGCAAUCCAGCCCCAGCAAUUUCCUGUAAAGGGAGAAUCUCAACCACCCUGCAAGGAGUGCAUUACAUGAGCAACUAUGACAGCCGACGGAAACUGUGGAAGGGACUGGGAGUAAUGACAGCGCCCUCUGCUGGACCCCUGCAGACUGGAGAUGUGCGCCCGACAUUACGUUGUAAGCUUGCUGUAUCCUGUUUCCAUUUCAGGUCGAUUGAAAGUAAGCUCUGCUGAAAAUAUUUUAGUGGUAAAACUCCUGGCUUUUGCAGCUGUUCUGCUUAGUCAAAAUAUACAAUGAAUUACAAGUACGCCCUGUUGUUGGUGACUUUUGUUGUGUUUUCGGGCAAAAACACUUGAAGAAGGAAACACUACGCAGAGGAGUUUCUUUUUCGUCUUUAUAGUGGGCGCGCAUUUUCAUAACAACACGACACUUCAACACUUUCCACCACUUUACGAUUGCUUACUUCUUUAUCAGUUCCUUAUCAAUAACAACGCUCCACUGCCACCUAGUGGACUGGUAGUAUGAACUCUCAGGACACAACAUUUUGCCAGCGGGAUUGUAGCUUCACUAGUAAUCUCCAUGGUAUCAGUGCUCACUAAUAGUUCGCUUAGUAACUUCUUUUGUGUUUUAGUAAUUUCUGGAGCUUUUUUCCACUAGGGUUUCUAUGAAUGCUCUGAGCUUGAUUCUUCACACAACGCAAGAGAAAGUACACAACCACUACACUCACAAUGGCUGCAAACUGUGCCAAUGCGUGCUGAAGUCUGAAGGCAAAUAAACAAUGUCAUCUGCAAAAGAUAGAGCCUCAGCUCCGAGUUUCCCAAAACAAACACCCUCCUCACCCUACCUACACUUUUCUAUGAAUAUCACAAACAGAAUCAGAGACAGAAUCAUGUCAUUCUGUUUGUUUUGUUCUCAAGCAACACACAUUAUCCACUACUUUUUUAAAACAUUUUCUAUCACAUUAAGUGAUCAUCAUUUACACAAACAAUUAAAUCGUUUUCAGCUGUUUAGAGUUGACUAAAAAAGCACUUUUUAACACACCCUUGCAUUUACGAUACACUUUUGUUGCAUCAAUGAGUUAUCAGUCAAAUAUUCACUUGAUCAUCCCAACAUUUAGGUUCAGUGGAAGAAAAGAAGAAUGUGGGGAACAAGAGCAAAACGAGUGGGAAUGUUAAAGAAAAGCAAAUAUCAGGCUCCUGUCUUUACUCUCAGCUCAUUUAUCAUUCACCCACCUGCAGGCUCAAAUCUUUCAAACCUCCAGCGGGGAUUUGCAGUGAUUAAUAGCUGUGCUGCAGUCUGUUCCUCAGCAUGAAUUACAGGUGUGAACUGACACAGAUAGACACCAACAAAUCUAAAUGUCACACGUACACCAUUCUGCUUUGAGCUCAUCUCAUUUUCUUCUGUCUGCCCAUAAUCACCUGUUUGACAGCUUUGUCUUUGCAUGCUCAAUCUUUGCUUCACUUCUACAACAAAAGCUGUCCAAUUAGCAGACAUUUAGUUUUAUCAUACAAGUUGUCUCAGUUUUAGCAUGUUUUUUUUUGGUGGAAUUUUGAGUUGAAUUGUUUUGAAUGGAUGGCAGUAGUAAUUAGCUUAUUGAUUUUUGUGUCUUUCUUGUUUCAUUGAGGCCAUCUGGCAGGACUGAUGAUCACUAAGAGCGGCUGAGUUCUUCAGUUCAAAUAGAUAUGACAUGUAGGCACACUGUAUUCACAAAAACUUUCCUGUAAAAUGCUCUUGUGUAACUCACUUCUUCCACAUUCUUGCUCUCUUUUGACUGUACUUUUAAGUAGCAGCAGCAACCGUUUUCUUCUUACGUUAUUUAUACAGUAAAUACAAACUGUAAAUCACAGAGUGUGUGGUACAACAUCACUCACCUGCCACUCUUGAUAUUUAAAUUGGGAAAAAACAGAUAAUUUCAGUCUGCGAUGGCAGAACACCACAAUAUUGUUUGUCAGUUGUUAGUGAAUUGGAAGACAUUGAAGAAAGCAAUCAAAAAAUGUUAAUUCUUGGGUAGUCCAUCAAGACCAAAUGGCAUAUUUGAUUUUGGCCACAAAAGACUUUCUGGAGUGUGGGCUGAUUGUCACUCAGUCUCUGUUUUUUUCUUUUCUGUGCAUCUGCCUCCGUCCUCUUUCCUUUCCCCUCCUUUUCUUUCUAAAAACACUUCAGUUUCAGUCGAUGACUUUUAUUAAUAUUUAAAACGAGGACAGCGAUGUGGCAAAUCUCUUCCCUUUCAUCUUUUUCUAAUUGAUUCUGACCUUGUUCCUUUCAUUUACACCGUGACUCACCGCUAUAGAUGUAUGUUGUGGAAAAUGCUCAUAAGUUUUCUUUUUCCCACUUUUUUCCCACAAAAUCUGAUUUAAUUGUCUUUUAUAAGCUGUUGAGGUGAUUCUGAUGACUUGAAGCAGGUUUUUGUGAGGCAUGAAGAAAGCAGUUUCAGCUCCUUUGACUGUGAGCCAAAUAGUUUUUUUUUUAAAACAGCUGUGUUUAAAUAUGCAGCGACCUAAAUGUUUUUCAUUUUUCAUUCCCCUUGCACAAGUCAGCCAUUUUAGUCAGAAAAACUGGAACGAAGCCUGAGGAAACCUCGACUAAUUUCAUCACAGGAGAAAACAAAACCUUCUGUGUUUAAUUAACCUCCUCACUUUACUCUCGCUCACACAUCAAUUCAAUAUACAAAAUAUUGAUUUGUUUAUUUAUUAGCUGCUUUGAAUGCUGAUGUCAGCCUUAAUUGGAUAUCUUCACAGCUUCUGUCUUCUGCAGCCCCGUAUCAUAACACCAACACCUUUGUGUUUCACUGCUGGGACUAUGCAGUCACUGUAGUUCUGAUCGUGUUCAAGCCAAACAUUUUGGAAGCCAUCUGAACUAAACAAAUUUAUAAUUUAUGUAAAAAAUGUGCUGCUAAUAUACAUCUGGCUUCUUUUUGUGCAUGUCCUCUACAGAGUUUGACAUUAUUCGUUGUCCUUCAUACUGUCUGAGCUGUCACAGAAACUCCGUUUUUUUCAUAAUUUCUGUACUGUGUUUGGCGUUAGGACGGCUACUGCAUCUCUGAUUAGUGGUAUAAUGGCUCAUUCUAUGCUCACUGCUUACCGCUGUGACUGUGUUUUGACUGAUUUUUAGUUGGUUGCCAGUUUUCCGGUAUUUUUUUAAUAUCUUUGUGAAAUCACACAAUCAGAUCAGGUCCAAAAUUGAGAUUGCUCUAGUGUUUGCAGGUCAUUUUAAACCAUGCUUGUGCAAUUAGUCUAAUUUAAAAUUACAGUACUCAGUUCAGUGCUACACAGUGAAUUCCGUUUUGGUUUACUUAUUUCUGUGUCAGUGAUCACAGUUGUAUUUAUGUGUGUUGUUCUAAACAUCUACUUUGGCACCUGGAAUUUCAGUAGUAUUUGCUUUUGAUUGUUCAUAAGGAAAAAUAUUUUUCUUGUGGCCCAAGAACACAAUCAUCAAGAAGGGAUGCAGUUUAAUUUAAUUUCACAUUUAAUUAAUUUGUGCACACAAGUGUACUCAUGUCCACUGUAUAAUGGUGUAUAUGUAAGUAAUAAAUAUUAUAGAGCUGUAAAAUGUACUGCAUAUUGUGAAUCCUUAUUAUUUACUGUUAAAGUACAUCUUUAAGAAUUAUCCAAUUUAGACCGUGCAACAUAUGUGUGUACCUGUGAGUGUUUACAUGGCGCCUUGG
Long non-coding RNA from Acanthochromis polyacanthus (spiny chromis), 3761 nucleotides. RefSeq lists it as uncharacterized. The record is from RefSeq and is a predicted model, not a curated record. Lineage: Eukaryota; Metazoa; Chordata; Actinopteri; Pomacentridae. The transcript is spliced from 3 exons.